Molecule: ribosomal RNA, 497 nt
Filed under: uncultured bacterium
Lineage: Bacteria
Description: partial 16S ribosomal RNA
Rfam family: Bacterial small subunit ribosomal RNA
Source: RNAcentral
GAUGAACGCUGGCGGCGUGCCUAAUACAUGCAAGUCGAGCGAACAGAUGAGGAGCUUGCUCCUCUGACGUUAGCGGCGGACGGGUGAGUAACACGUGGAUAACCUACCUAUAAGACUGGGAUAACUUCGGGAAACCGGAGCUAAUACCGGAUAAUAUAUUGAACCGCAUGGUUCAAUAGUGAAAGACGGUUUUGCUGUCACUUAUAGAUGGAUCCGCGCCGCAUUAGCUAGUUGGUAAGAUAACGGCUUACCAAGGCAACGAUGCGUAGCCGACCUGAGAGGGUGAUCGGCCACACUGGAACUGAGACACGGUCCAGACUCCUACGGGAGGCAGCAGUAGGGAAUCUUCCGCAAUGGGCGAAAGCCUGACGGAGCAACGCCGCGUGAGUGAUGAAGGUCUUCGGAUCGUAAAACUCUGUUAUUAGGGAAGAACAAAUGUGUAAGUAACUAUGCACGUCUUGACGGUACCUAAUCAGAAAGCCACGGCUAACUACGUG